GAUGAACGCUGGCGGCGUGCCUAAUACAUGCAAGUCGAGCGAACGGACGAGAAGCUUGCUUCUCUGAUGUUAGCGGCGGACGGGUGAGUAACACGUGUAUAACCUACCUAUAAUACUUGUAUAACUUCGGGAAACCGGAGCUAAUACCGGUUAAUAUUUUGAACCUCAUGGUUCAAAAGUUAAAUACGGUCUUUCUUUCUCUUAUAGAUGUAUCCGCUCUGCAUUAUCUAGUUGGUAAGGUAACGGCUUACCAAGGCAACGAUGCAUAUCCGACCUGAGAGGGUGAUCGGCCAAACUGGAAGUGAGAAACGGUAAAGACGCCUACGGGAGGAAGCAGUAGGGAAUAGUCCGCAAUGGGAGAAAGAAUGACGGAGCAACGCCGAGUGAGUGAUGAAGGUCUUCGGAUCGUAAAACUCUGUUAUUAGGGAAGAACAAAUGUGUAAGUAACUGUGCACAUCAUGACGGUACCUAAUCAGAAAGCAACGGCUAACUACGUC
Molecule: ribosomal RNA, 497 nt
Filed under: uncultured bacterium
Lineage: Bacteria
Description: partial 16S ribosomal RNA
Rfam family: Bacterial small subunit ribosomal RNA
Source: RNAcentral